Long non-coding RNA from Dama dama (fallow deer), 1976 nucleotides. RefSeq lists it as uncharacterized. The record is from RefSeq and is a predicted model, not a curated record. NCBI's taxonomy places the organism in Eukaryota, Metazoa, Chordata, Mammalia, Artiodactyla, Cervidae. The transcript is spliced from 3 exons.
AAUAAUUGUAGGUAAUCCCUAGAAGUAAUUAUGUUUUGGGAAUGCCUAUCUAAAUAUAGUCUUUCUUAGAUUUUGGUAACUUGAAACUAAAGUUGAAAGUGUAAUAGGGAAGAACCUUUUGUAUUCUCUUCCAAAGUGAAAGUGAAAGUGGCUUAGUCCUGUCCGACUCUUUGCGACCCAGGCCAGAUUCUCCAGGAAAGAAUACUGGAGUGGGUAGCCUUUCCCUUCUCCAGGUGAUCUUCCCAACCCAGGGAUUGAAGCCUGUCUCCCACAUUGCAGGUGGAUUCUUUACCAGCUGAGCCACAAGGGAAGCCCAAGAAUACUGGAGUGGGUAGCCUAUUCCUUCUCCAGCAGAUCUUCCCAACCUAGGAAUUGAACCGGGGUCUGCUGCACUGCAUUCUAUUCCAAGUUCAUCACUAAAGGGAUGCUGCCUAUAAGCUUAAAUUAUACAUAAUGGCCAUCUCUGGGAACCCUGCUUCCCAGAGAAUGAGCAUUAAGCUAAAAUACCUGUAUUUAUCUCACAGGAAACCUCCCGACUAGGCCCACUUGUGAACGGCUGCAGGAAGAGGAAAUUCACACGACCUGUCCAGAGGCUGAUGCGAACCAGGAAGUGUUUGACUUUACUCCCUCCCCUUUUAGUACAGAAGGAGUCUGGAUCUAACUCAGGCAAGAUGGUUCUUUGGGAGCACAAGCUGACCAUCUUCUCAGUCUGCUGGCUUUCUGAAUGAAGUCAUUAUUCCUUGCCCCAACAACUUGUCUCUCGAUUAUCAGCCUGCCAUGCGUGCUUCAUCUUGAAGAAGAUUCAUAGGAAGGAUGUUUUAACAAGUACAGAUCUCUGAUCUACAUCUUUGAUCGUGUGUGUAUGCUAAGUCACUUCAGCCAUGUCUGACUCCUUGCAACCCUCUGGACUAUCUAUGGACUGCAGCCCGCCAGGCCCCUCUGUCCACGGGAUUCUCCAGGCAAGAACACUGGAGUGGGCUGCUACUCCUCCUCCAGGGGGUCUUCCUGACCCAGGGAUGGGACCUGCAUCUUUCAAGUCCUCUGCACUGGCAGGCAGGUUCUUUACCAGAAGCACCACCUGGGAAGCCCAUGUCUUAGAUCACUUUUUUUAAAUAUAAUUAUUGAUAAAUUAGGGCUUAAAUUUGCCAUUUUAUUUUUCUGUUUCUUUCCUCUGACUGUUACUCUAUUUCACUGUUCUUAUCUCCCUGUGGGUUACUGAAACAUUUCUUAGGAAUACAGUGAUUUAUUUCUAGUGUUUUUCAGUAUCUUGAACGGUUUCCUUAGAGGCUGAUGGAGGUACUAUAUGCAUCUAUAAAACUCACCACUCUGAAGUUUAGAAAACUUCCUUCCAUUUAGAUCCCUUUACCUUCUUCACUUUUAAAAACAAGUUGUUUGAAGUAUUUUCCCCUGCACAUACUGAGCACCAUUUCAGAUGAUGCUAUAGUGUUUGUUUCAACCAUCAAGUAUGAUUUAAGACAUUCAAGAGAAGCAGAAUAGUCUAUCAAAUUCACUCCUCUUUUUAUCACUCCAGUGUUCUUUCCUUUCUGAAGUUCUAAGCUUUCUUUCUGUUAUAUUCUGUUUAGAGAAUCGCCUUUAGCUGCACUUCUGCUAGCAACAAAUAAUCUUAGUUUUUCAUCACCUGAGUAUGUCUUGAUUUCCCUUUCUUCUGACGGAUGUUUCCACCAGACACAAAAUUUCCUGUUGACAGUUCUUUUCUUUCAGUACUUAAAAAUGUUAGGCCAAUUCCUUCAACACCCCAGUUUCAGAUAACUGCUGUCAUUAGAAUUCAUGUUCCCCUGUAAGUAAUGUGUCAUUUCUCACUACUUUCAAGACUUUUUCUUUGGUGUUCAGAAGUUUAAUUAUGACAUGUCCAGUGUACUUUUCUUUGCAUUUGUCUGAUUUGGGGUUUACUCAGUUUUUUAGGUUAAUGUUUUUGGCUCACUUUGGGACGUUUUCAGACACGAUGUUUUCAAAUA